ACAGAGUAACGCCUUAAGCAAGAUGACAUGAUGUAGAGGGAUAAUCUCAAACCAAUGAUAAAAACCCCAUCUUUUUACCCUUGAUGGCAACUACUUGAUGUGUGCCUUGCUGCCCUACUGUCACUGGGAAAGGUCACCACAUGGCAGAACCCAAAACCAAGCACUUCUCCCAUUGCAAGAAUCAUAGAUCUAGUUGGCCAAACAAAACCCAAGACUCGGAGAGACUUACAAGGAUAUCAAAUCAUGCAUAUAAGAAAUCAGCA
RNAcentral lists this long non-coding RNA (263 nucleotides) under Hordeum vulgare. RNAcentral's name for it is "long non-coding RNA (HVUL_LNC013848)". Lineage: Eukaryota; Viridiplantae; Streptophyta; Magnoliopsida; Poales; Poaceae. The record is from RNAcentral.